GGGCCCGCACAAGCGGUGGAGCAUGUGGUUUAAUUCGAAGCAACGCGAAGAACCUUACCAGGUCUUGACAUCUAGCGCCAAUCCUAGAGAUAGGACGUUCCCUUCGGGGACGCUAAGACAGGUGGUGCAUGGUUGUCGUCAGCUCGUGUCGUGAGAUGUUGGGUUAAGUCCCGCAACGAGCGCAACCCUUAUUAUCAGUUGCCAGCAUUCAGUUGGGCACUCUGGUGAGACUGCCGGUGACAAACCGGAGGAAGGUGGGGAUGACGUCAAAUCAUCAUGCCCCUUAUGACCUGGGCUACACACGUGCUACAAUGGCUAGUACAACGAGUUGCGAGACCGCGAGGUCAAGCUAAUCUCUAAAAGCUAGUCUCAGUUCGGAUUGUAGGCUGCAACUCGCCUACAUGAAGUUGGAAUCGCUAGUAAUCGCGGAUCAGCACGCCGCGGUGAAUACG
This 452-nucleotide ribosomal RNA is filed under the name uncultured Lactobacillales bacterium. RNAcentral describes it as "bacterial SSU rRNA". It matches the Rfam family "Bacterial small subunit ribosomal RNA", at positions 917 to 1370 of the family's 1533-position model. Lineage: Bacteria; Bacillati; Bacillota; Bacilli; Lactobacillales. The record is from RNAcentral.